GACGAACGCUGGCGGCGUGCUUAACACAUGCAAGUCGAGCGAUGAAACUUCCUUCGGGAAGUGGAUUAGCGGCGGACGGGUGAGUAACACGUGGGUAACCUGCCUCAAAGUGGGGGAUAGCCUUCCGAAAGGAAGAUUAAUACCGCAUAAUAUGAGAAAAUCGCAUGAUUUUCUUAUCAAAGAUUUAUUGCUUUGAGAUGGACCCGCGGCGCAUUAGCUAGUUGGUAAGGUAACGGCUUACCAAGGCAACGAUGCGUAGCCGACCUGAGAGGGUGAUCGGCCACAUUGGAACUGAGACACGGUCCAGACUCCUACGGGAGGCAGCAGUGGGGAAUAUUGCGCAAUGGGGGGAAACCCUGACGCAGCAACGCCGCGUGGGUGAUGAAGGUUUUCGGAUUGUAAAGCCCUGUUUUCUGGGACGAUAAUGACGGUACCAGAGGAGGAAGCCACGGCUAACUACGUGC
This 464-nucleotide ribosomal RNA is filed under the name bacterium enrichment culture clone TC60b_6010. RNAcentral's name for it is "bacterial SSU rRNA". It matches the Rfam family "Bacterial small subunit ribosomal RNA", at positions 28 to 508 of the family's 1533-position model. The record is from RNAcentral.